This 253-nucleotide ribosomal RNA is filed under the name uncultured bacterium. RNAcentral describes it as "partial 16S ribosomal RNA". It matches the Rfam family "Bacterial small subunit ribosomal RNA", at positions 524 to 776 of the family's 1533-position model. The record is from RNAcentral.
UACGUAGGGGGCAAGCGUUGUCCGGAAUCAUUGGGCGUAAAGCGCGUGUAGGCGGCCCGAUAAGUCCGCUGUGAAAGUCCAGGGCUCAACCCUGGGAUGCCGGUGGAUACUGUCGGGCUCGAGUCCGGAAGAGGCGAGUGGAAUUCCUGGUGUAGCGGUGAAAUGCGCAGAUAUCAGGAGGAACACCAAUGGCGAAGGCAGCUCGCUGGGACGUGACUGACGCUGAGACGCGAAAGCGUGGGUAGCAAACAGG